GACACACCCACCAUAGUUUCUGUGUGUGUGCCGGAGAUCUGAACUCAGGUCCUGCACUGGGUCACGGACACACCCACCAUAGUUUCUGUGUGUGCCGGAGGUCUGAACUCAGGUCCUGCACUGGGUCACGGACACACCCACCAUAGUUUCUGUGUGUGUGCUGGAGAUCUGAACUCAGGUACUCAUGCAUGUGUGGCAGUCAUUGCCUACUGAGCCACCUCUCCUGGCCCAUUGUGCACAGGUUUCUGGAAAACAUUCUUGAAGAAAAUGUGGGAAGCUUCCUAUUCCAACAUAUGGUUAUGGGCCCCUCAAGGGAUCCAUAUGUAGAAAAGGUCUCCAUCUGGGUGUGUUGGCACAAGUCUGUGGUCCUAGUACUCGGGAGUAGAAACAGAUCUUUAUGAGUUCAAGGUAAGCUUGGACUACACAGCAAGAUCCAGGCCAGCCAUGCUGGACCACUUGUCUUCAGAGGGGAGGGGAGGGUGUGAAUAAAACAACUUCUGCUUUACUUAGGUAUCUUUUUUAAAUUUACAUUUCUUGCACAUUAUUCGUGGAGGUCACAGGACAACUGUGGGAGUUGGUUCUCUCUGUGGCACGCCGCGUCUGCCAGCAGAAGAGACAACCACAACAGGAUUCUUCUCAGAACGUACUUUUAUUGGGAGCGCACAACUUGAGGUUGAUGGUGAAGGACCCCGGACCCUGGCGUGCAUGGCUUAUAUAAGCCGUGCAGAACAAAGCCUGAGACGUGUCCGAGUCUGAAUGGCUCUGGCUGCUCCUGAUCUUACGCGUCAGCUCACGAUUGGCGGCUGGAUCGCGCCAUUCGGGAAAGCACACCAAGCGCCUCUGGGCGGGGCCGAGGCUGCUUUGGAGGCAGGAAAUAACGGCAGGGUUGUGGUGCCUUGGCGCCCUACAUCUCCCCCUUAUAUAUAUAUAUAUUAAUAGACGCCCGGGAUGUAUCCGAUCAGGUCAGAACCUCAUGAUGCUCCAACCGAUCAAGGACAGUGGUUCCGGAGGGAAAGGAUGCCAACGCCUUCCCAAGUGCAAGGGCAACAAGGCCGAUUGGGGUGCAAAGGCCAUUGGCUGCCAACGCCUUCCCGAGUGCAAGGGCAACAAGGCCAAUCGGGGUGCAAAGGCCAUUGACUUUCUGCAAGAGCCCCAUCCUACCAGGUGCAAUGACAACAAUGUCACUGGGUACAAGGGCUGAGGCCUCACAAAUCCCUCUUAAGGCUGGCAAGCCAUACCUGGGGGGAGACGCCCUGAUCAAUCGCUGCCAGUGCCUGAAUGAUCACAGCUUUAUCUCGAGCCUGUCGCGCUCGGAGACGGUACAGUAGCCACAGACACAGGAAAACGCCUAGGCAUAUUAAAGCGCCAAACAAUCCCACCCCAACCCAUAGAACUGAAGUCAACCAAGAGGUCAGUUCUUUGAGGGUGACAGGAUCAACACGGGUUCCAUUAAGUUCAGCAAUUUGGACCAGCUGCUGCUGAAUGAGUUGUUCUGCCUCUCGCGACCAGUUUCCAGCUAAAUAGUCUCCCAGCCUUUUGCUCUUAUUUCCUGCAUCAAUAAAUCUCAAAGGGGUUAUG
Non-coding RNA from Myodes glareolus (Bank vole), 1578 nucleotides. The record is from RefSeq and is a predicted model, not a curated record. NCBI's taxonomy places the organism in Eukaryota, Metazoa, Chordata, Mammalia, Rodentia, Cricetidae.